AUUUGCAGCCCCACCCUUCACUGUCUGGAGAGGGGGAAUGGGCUGGAGAUGGAAUUAAUCAUUGAUCAUGCCUGUGCGAUGAAGCUGUCACAUAAAAAUCCCUCCAGUAUAGGGCUGGGAGAGCUUCCAGGCCAGCGAACGCAUCCACGUGCCAAGAUGGUGACACGCUCCAACUCCACGGAGGCAGCAGCUCCUGUGCUCAGGACCCUUCCGGACCUCACCCUGCUUCUCUCUUCAUCUGGCUGUUCGCCUGUGUCCUUUUUCAUAUCUUCUAUUAUAUAACAAACUGAUACCAUGGAUACCAAGAGGCACAAUUUUUCCAAGGCUCAUGCUUCAUCCAGAUGUUCGAUGCCUUUUGGAUUUACAAUUUGGAGGGGCUCUAUUGCAGCCCAGAGGCACUCACGGUUUGCGCUGCAGGACUCCACACUUCCAGGUUGUGGAAAAGGUAGAGAGAUAAAAGUUACAUGCUAGAAUUUUGUAUAAAGGCAACAUAAGGUGUUUUAGGGGGCAGGGGGAGGUUGUUAUCUGCAGUUGUGCCUGGGGCAAGGUUGCUUUAUGCUUUCUUCCCUCCCAGCAUCUGGCCUGCCUCUACUCAAGAAGUAUCACAUUAACUCUUGCUCGCUCCAACUUGGAGCAGCUUCUCAAGUGACAGAAACACCAAAAAUCCCCAGAGGAAGGUGUUAACAUGCAGAUUUCUGGGCCAGAUUUAGAUCUCCUGAAAGAGAAUCUGCAUUUUAAUGAGCUCGGCCCCAAGAGCCCGCAUUUUAAUAGACCAGGACCUAAAUUCGACGGUUUUUUAAAUUGAGAAAUAUAAUCAAAAGAAUAUAUUCAACUGUGUAUGUAAUUCCCCCAGCCCCAACUCCAGCUAAAGCACUCUGAGCUUUGAGAUACUCAGUCCUGUGCCUGCCAUAUAGAUUGUCACUUAUAAAUGCAUCCUAGAACGAGUCUUUCUUGCCUAUUUAAAAAUUGUAUAGAAAUGGAAUUCCAUUUCUAUGCAAUUAUAUAUUGUGCCUUGCUGUUUUUACUCUGCGUUGUGGUUGUGUGGUUCCCUCUGCUGUUGCGUCUAGCUGUAAUGUGUCCCUUUUGAUCACUGUGUAAUAUUCCAUUGUGUGACAAUAACACAACCGAUCUAUCGUUCACAGACAUCCUCUUCCAGCCCAGCUCUGAGGCACGUUUCACGUGUUUUACCAUCAGGCUAAUUCUGUUGAUGAGCAAAUAACAGGUCACAAAAGUCGAGUGAUUGAAGAGCCCAGCGCAGGGGUUCAACGGCUCGAGUCUGAGACCUGCCACCACCACCAGGGGUAUCGCUGUGUGAGCUCAGGCACGUUGAUCUCUGUGCCUAGUUUUUGCACCUGUAAAACGGUAUCUGUGAAAUCACAGUAGCAGGUCCCGUUUCAGUGUUGUGAUGAUUCAGUACAACAAACACCUGUAAAGUAGGUACAGCUUUGCCUGGCCCAUUCAGCUUCAGGGCAGGAAUGGAAACUGGGACUUCUGCCCUACCUCACAGUCUUUGUACAGUUUGAAUUUCCCAUGAGCAUGUGUUGCUUUUGUGGUCCAUUAGUUAAACACAAACCUUCGGCCCACAGCUUCUUACCCUCAGCCUCAGGCCCUGGAGUUCACCUGAUGUAUGACUACAGAGUAAUGAACCAGGCAAGCCCUCACUGCCAAGGCAGAGCUGAGUCUAGUCUUUGAGCAGCCAAGGCUGGCCUGGCCCAGCCACCCAGGUGGACAUUAUCUGACCUGUCAAUGCCCUUUACCAAAAGGGCAGAGCCAGCCACACAGGCGGCAGGGGGUGCCAACACAAAGGAGGACAAAGUUGGCAUAUGACUCCCAUCAGGUGACCCGAGUCCUUGUUCCGCCCCUGCCACUAUUAGAGGGGCUAGCUAUGUCUCUCUGGGCUAUAGUGUCUUCUUCAGUAAAAUGGGGGUAGAGGGGACUCAGACAAGAGCUCCAAGAUCUUUUUCAGUGAAUUCCAUAACACUUGAGGCUUCUGGGUAAAGCAGCUGAGGUGCUAGGGAAAUCAGCUUGGGGGCUGUUGCCUGGUAUAUGUGUCUCCUUGAGAAAUGCCCCAGGAGGGGGCUGGUCUGGCACAGUGGGUCUUGUUGGCCUGGCUGCAGGGGCAGCAGCCAAGGGACCAGUGGCAAAUAAGGGCUAUAGUGAAUCUGCUCUCCCCCGAGACAAGCCCUGUUGGGUAUGAUUGCACACCAUCCUCUCAAGUUCAUGCCAAUUAACAAACAGUCCCAUUUGGAAGGCAAUUCCUUCUAAAACACACCAUGCCUUCCAAGGAGCUGACUACUGCGAGCUUGCUCGUUUCCAGUCGGAGGUCCCUCAGGCCCCAGUUCCAUGCAGGAGGCUUGUCACCCCUGAAGCCCGUCCUUUCUCCUUCCCUCGACCUCGCAACUAGAGCUGGAAGGGGCAGAGGGCAAGGGGCCGAGCAGUCCUUGGUGCCACAAUUCACAGUGGCCCGGGGCCAGCUUAGAUAAUACAUCCCAUCACCCUCACGCCCCCUCACUUCCUCUCAGAUGGAUAUGUGAAGCAUCUGGGAAGUCAACAGCUGCUGCCUUCCACCCCAAAGAGGGUGGUGAGGUAAUCCCCAUACAUAGUCUGACAAGUGCCUUGGGGUGAAGGGGGCUCUGUGUGGAGGAGAGUGAGGAACUGUAUUUUUCAGGAGCACUUCACUGGUGUCCUGGCACCAAAGAGAGAUGAAAAGUUAACCGGGUUUUCUGGCCUCCACAAAAGCAUCUUUCAUCCCAUAAUAGACUCCAGAUUGGAGGGAAGAUUUCACUAUACAGUGGCCAGAGACAGGAAGCUCUGUUGAAGGCCCUGACCGCUCCACCCCCACUCACUUCUGAGGAUUCCCACUGUAACCUAGAGAGCUCGGGAGACAGGCACAUGGGGUCUGACGACAGGAAUGCUAACGUGAAGGAUGGAGAAGCAGGACGAUAUUCGGGCUGUCACCUGGGCUGAUGGCUGUUCUGUGACGCGGAACGACUGAUGACUCUCAGAGGUGAGAGGUAACUCCAUGGGAAAGGUAGCUCCGGUCGGAUCAUCAGCAGUAACGUCUUGGCUGAGCCCUCGAGUGCCAGACACUUGACAACUGUGAGAAAUAAACAGUCACAGAAGGUAGCAGUGGAACACCUUUCCCCCCACCCCUCCACCUCCUGCAGCCCCCACCCUCCUCGGAGAUUUGGUCAGGCUUAUUACCCACAGCAGGUGGCAGAGAAGGACCUGGGAAGAGAGGGCUUCUCGCCAUUUAACUGCACGGAUUCGAAGGAUUCGAAGGAUUCGGCGCUACAUGCUUUUACUUCUAACAAGGUCAAAAUGGCGGGUGUCGACAGCUCCAGCCUCAUCCCUGUUGAAAGGACCCAAAUCCAGGGGGAGUGCUUGGGGAGGAUGCGGAUCUAUGAUGGCCUUUUGUUGUUUUAGACUUUUGAAAUUUUUAUUACAUAUCCUUUCCAAAAAUACUUUUUAUACAAAAAAGUGCUUAUAUGAUACAAUAACCAUUCUCUCCAGAUGAAAGCAGUGUUCUGGUUCUGGUGUAUCCUUCAGGAUCAUCUCCGUGUACCUACACGUGCUCCUUAGCUGUAUCUUAAGUGUUUAGCUUUUGUAAAUGUAACGAUUUGUGCCAGGCCCUUCCACUGAGCAUACGCCCUCGAGUGUGAGUGGGGCAAGCUCUCUCAUGUCAUUCAUUCUGGUGUUUAAAAAAACAUUUUUCCUAUAAGCUCCUAAAUGCAAGGCCAGCACUUUAUCUGGAGCUCAAAUAGGGUACUGGUGACCUGUCCCAGUGCUGAGGGACACUCGCUGUGCUCACUGUUACAAUAUGACACCUUCGGAAGGUGUUUAAUGGCCUCUGAACUAUAUGCCAUUUUGUAUUGAGCUUGACUUUGGACCCAACUCCUAGGAAGAUGUCUCUAUUAGUCAUACACUAUUCAUGUUCUUUUCCAUUUGGUUUAUCUUGGAAGUUGUUCCAAAUCAGUAUCUAUAGAUCUGCCUUAUUCUUUAAGUGCUCACUGCAGGCUAUUCCACAGCAUGACUGUACACGGUGUCUUUGGAAAGAAUUCUAUUUUCAUACCGCAAAGGAAAGAGAAAUGUCACCAUUAAAAAAGAUACAAACUAAGAACGAA
Molecule: long non-coding RNA, 4124 nt
Organism: Pteropus alecto (black flying fox)
Lineage: Eukaryota; Metazoa; Chordata; Mammalia; Chiroptera; Pteropodidae
Exons: 2
Source: RefSeq, a predicted model, not a curated record